AGAGCGAACGCUGGCGGCAGGCCUAACACAUGCAAGUCGAGCGCCGUAGCAAUACGGAGCGGCAGACGGGAGAGUAACACGUGGGAACGUGCCCUUUGGUUCGGAACAACACAGGGAAACUUGUGCUAAUACCGGAUAAGCCCUUACGGGGAAAGAUUUAUCGCCAAAGGAUCGGCCCGCGUCUGAUUAGCUAGUUGGUGAGGUAACGGCUCACCAAGGCGACGAUCAGUAGCUGGUCUGAGAGGAUGAUCAGCCUCACUGGGACUGAGACACGGCCCAGACUCCUACGGGAGGCAGCAGUGGGGAAUAUUGGACAAUGGGCGCAAGCCUGAUCCAGCCAUGCCGCGUGGAUGAUGAAGGCCUAGGGUUGUAAAGUCCUUUUAACGGGGAAGAUAAUGACGGUACCGUAGAAUAAGCCCCGGACUAACUUCGCGCCAGCAGCCGC
Molecule: ribosomal RNA, 445 nt
Filed under: uncultured bacterium
Lineage: Bacteria
Description: SSU rRNA
Rfam family: Bacterial small subunit ribosomal RNA
Source: RNAcentral